UUUUGGACAAUGGGGGCGACCCUGAUCCAGCCAUGCCGCGUGAGUGAAGAAGGCCUUCGGGUUGUAAAGCUCUUUCGGACGGAACGAAAUGGGCGGGACUAAUACUCCUGUCUGAUGACGGUACCGUAAGAAGAAGCACCGGCUAACUACGUGCCAGCAGCCGCGGUAAUACGUAGGGUGCGAGCGUUAAUCGGAAUUACUGGGCGUAAAGCGUGCGCAGGCGGUUUCGUAAGCUGGAGGUGAAAUCCCCGGGCUUAACCUGGGAAUGGCCUUCAGGACUGCGAGGCUAGAGUGCGGUAGAGGGAGGUGGAAUUCCACGUGUAGCAGUGAAAUGCGUAGAGAUGUGGAGGAACACCGAUGGCGAAGGCAGCCUCCUGGGCCAGCACUGACGCUCAUGCACGAAA
Molecule: ribosomal RNA, 404 nt
Filed under: uncultured bacterium
Lineage: Bacteria
Description: bacterial SSU rRNA
Rfam family: Bacterial small subunit ribosomal RNA
Source: RNAcentral